UAGGGAAUCUUCCACAAUGGACGCAAGUCUGAUGGAGCAACGCCGCGUGAGUGAAGAAGGCUUUCGGGUCGUAAAACUCUGUUAUUGAAGAAGAACGUGUGUGACAGUAACUGGUCAUGCAGUGACGGUAUUCAAUCAGAAAGUCACGGCUAACUACGUGCCAGCAGCCGCGGUAAUACGUAGGUGGCAAGCGUUGUCCGGAUUUAUUGGGCGUAAAGCGAGUGCAGGCGGUCUUUCAUUGAUCUGAUGUGAAAGCCUUCGGCUUAACCGAAGAAGGGCAUCGGAAACUGGAGACUUGAGUGCAGAAGAGGAG
RNAcentral lists this ribosomal RNA (313 nucleotides) under uncultured bacterium. RNAcentral's name for it is "partial 16S ribosomal RNA". It matches the Rfam family "Bacterial small subunit ribosomal RNA", at positions 355 to 659 of the family's 1533-position model. The record is from RNAcentral.